RNAcentral lists this ribosomal RNA (352 nucleotides) under Triticum aestivum (bread wheat). RNAcentral's name for it is "partial small subunit ribosomal RNA". The record is from RNAcentral. Lineage: Eukaryota; Viridiplantae; Streptophyta; Magnoliopsida; Poales; Poaceae.
GCUAUCUACGGCAGCGGCGCGUGAGCCGCCGUGGAGCCGAGCCGCGCCUCCCUUCCUCGCAGCGCAUCGUCGCUGGCCCUGCCUGACUUCGUCCGCCGGAACCGGGACGGGACCAGAGAAGGGGCGGGUCAGCCGCCUCCGAGGAGAUCACCGCGGGAGGGCGCGCAACCGGUGGAGGGGAAUCUUGAGUGGUGGUGACCUCGAUCUCGGCGGAGAGAUCCCCGGCGGUGGGGGGCGGUAGAUGCCGGGAAGCAAGGGAGGCGGGUAGAGGAACAGAGGAGAGGAGAUUGGGGGAGUAAAAAAAUGGUGAGUACGAGAGACAAGUUGAUGAGAUUCAAGAGAGAGGGUGUGA